RNAcentral lists this ribosomal RNA (253 nucleotides) under uncultured bacterium. RNAcentral's name for it is "partial 16S ribosomal RNA". It matches the Rfam family "Bacterial small subunit ribosomal RNA", at positions 524 to 776 of the family's 1533-position model. The record is from RNAcentral.
UACGGGGGUUGCAAGCGUUAUUCGGAAUCAUUGGGCGUAAAGAGCGCGUAGGCGGUCUUCUAUGUCAGGUGUGAAAGCCCGGGGCUCAACCUCGGAAGUGCACUUGAAACUGGGAGACUUGAGUAUGGGAGAGGGAAGUGGAAUUCCUGGUGUAGCGGUGAAAUGCGUAGAUAUCAGGAGGAACACAGGUGGCGAAGGCGACUUCCUGGACCAAUACUGACGCUGAGGCGCGAAGGCGUGGGGAGCAGACAGG